UACGGAGGGGGCUAGCGUUGUUCGGAAUGACUGGGCGUAAAGGGCGCGUAGGCGGCUUUUUAAGUGAGGCGUGAAAGCCCUGGGCUUAACCCAGGAGGUGCGUUUCAUACUGAAGAGCUUGAGUACGAGAGAGGAAAGUGGAAUUCCUAGUGUAGAGGUGAAAUUCGUAGAUAUUAGGAAGAACACCAGUGGCGAAGGUGGCUUUCUGGCUCGUAACUGACGCUGAGGCGCGAAAGCGUGGGGAGCAAACAGG
RNAcentral lists this ribosomal RNA (253 nucleotides) under uncultured bacterium. Its description in RNAcentral is "partial 16S ribosomal RNA". It matches the Rfam family "Bacterial small subunit ribosomal RNA", at positions 524 to 776 of the family's 1533-position model. The record is from RNAcentral.